Molecule: non-coding RNA, 38 nt
Filed under: unclassified sequences
Source: RNAcentral
CUUUAGUUCGAUAUGAUAUUUUAUAAGGCAGAAAGGAG